AAUGAACGUUGGCGGCGUGGAUUAGGCAUGCAAGUCGCGCGACAAGGAACCUUCGGGUUCUGGAGGAGCGGCAAACGGGGUAGUAAGGCAUCGGAACGUACCCUCUUGUUGGGAAUAGCCGCGGGAAACUGCGAGUAAUGCCCAAUAAUCCCUACGGGGCAAAGGUCCGCCGCAGGAGGAGCGGCCGAUGUGAUACCAGCUAGUUGGUGAGGUAAUGGCUCACCAAGGCUUAGACGUCUAGGGGGUNUGAGAGCAUGGCCCCCACACUGGGACUGAGAUACUGCCCAGACACCUACGGGUGG
RNAcentral lists this ribosomal RNA (302 nucleotides) under uncultured bacterium. RNAcentral describes it as "bacterial SSU rRNA". It matches the Rfam family "Bacterial small subunit ribosomal RNA", at positions 29 to 348 of the family's 1533-position model. The record is from RNAcentral.